RNAcentral lists this small RNA (436 nucleotides) under Pan troglodytes (chimpanzee). Its description in RNAcentral is "retained intron". Lineage: Eukaryota; Metazoa; Chordata; Mammalia; Primates; Hominidae. The record is from RNAcentral.
CGGUGGCCGCGGCCGCCGAGUCCGUCUGCGCAGCCUCCUGCGUUUUCUCGCUUGGAUCUUGGCACUGAGAGGUGGUGGCCGGCGGGAUGGAGAAAAGUAGGAUGAACCUGCCCAAGGGGCCGGACACGCUCUGCUUCGACAAGGACGAGUUCAUGAAGGAAGAUUUCGAUGUCGAUCAUUUUGUGUCUGACUGUAGGAAGCGGGUCCAGCUGGAAGAACUGAGAGAUGACCUGGAGCUCUACUAUAAACUUCUUAAAACAGCCAUGGUCGAACUCAUCAACAAGGAUUAUGCAGAUUUUGUCAAUCUUUCAACAAACUUGGUUGGCAUGGACAAAGCCCUCAACCAGCUUUCUGUGCCUUUGGGACAAUUACGAGAAGAGGUUCUGGUAAGUUUCCCGAAUAACAUUAAACAGUUUACCCUAAAGCAUGAUAUGCU